Molecule: long non-coding RNA, 1055 nt
Organism: Cucurbita maxima (winter squash)
Lineage: Eukaryota; Viridiplantae; Streptophyta; Magnoliopsida; Cucurbitales; Cucurbitaceae
Exons: 5
Source: RefSeq, a predicted model, not a curated record
UUUGAUAUCUGCUUAUUUGAUUUUGAUUUUGAUUUUUUUCUUUUCACUCGUGGAUGUUCUCUUGUGAUAUCCAUUACGCUACUGCUUCCAUUCGCUCUUCCGGGAUACACUGUGGGAAGCUGUUGAUAAGGAAUGGAUGGAGUGGUUGCGCAGGGAACCUGCGAAAAAUCUGCACCUAAUUCCUUCUGGAGUUGUCUAGCUAAUUCUUCGGAAGAAUGCUGACACUGUACAUUGACAGAUUGCUUUGAAGAAAUUCAGUUUCAAUUUCUGGGAAAAUCAAUAUGAAUAUUGGCCAGAUUCGCUAAAGAAAUUUAUCGGUAGUUCAAGAUCUGUUGCAUUUCAACGUGAACAAGCAGACUUGCAGAUGCCUUGGAUAAAGAAGAACCCGUUCCUUUUCUGGAACGUUGUUUGCAGUAUUCAAACCUCCUUGAUCUAGCCAAGCUAAAAAUUUCAUCUUUUUGGGCACUUAUGUCCUCCAAAGAACAUUUAAGAACUUCUUCUAGUUCGAGGGAGAGCCACUACCAUGCUAUAGAAAGAAAGUGAGAUUUAGGUGUAAAGAGGCCAUCAGAAUUCCAGCUCUGGCCAUAUUUCUUUCAUUAACGAGCAGAACAUUUUCAAGAAGAUGAGAGACUCUAGUCAGAAAGUUAUUUUUCAUUGAGCUGUCUUGUAAACCUGAGAUUCCAGCCAUUAUCAGCCAAAUUCCUGCAUUCCUGAAACAAUAAAGACUCAGAUUCAUUAAGAUGAAAAAAUGUCAGAAAUUUCUGAUAUCGGUCUGAAAAAAUGAGAUUCCAUGUGUUGUCCGUUGAUGCAUUAAAAUCCUUGCCAGCAUAUCACUACAAGGCGAUCAUGUUGAGGAGAAAAGUGUGCCUGGCAACGACGAAAAAGAGAAAACCAAACGGCUGGAGUCGAAGUGUUUGUGCAGUUCAGACAAAGAGCCUUCAUUAUUUUUUGCUGGACAGGAUUUAACAACAAAAGUACUGUAACGGCCCAGAUCCACCGCUAGCAGAUGUUGUCCUCUUUGGGCUUUCCCUUUCGGGCUUCCCCUCAAGGCUUUA